RNAcentral lists this ribosomal RNA (2923 nucleotides) under Staphylococcus aureus. RNAcentral describes it as "23S ribosomal RNA". It matches the Rfam family "Bacterial large subunit ribosomal RNA". Lineage: Bacteria; Bacillati; Bacillota; Bacilli; Caryophanales; Staphylococcaceae. The record is from RNAcentral.
GAUUAAGUUAUUAAGGGCGCACGGUGGAUGCCUUGGCACUAGAAGCCGAUGAAGGACGUUACUAACGACGAUAUGCUUUGGGGAGCUGUAAGUAAGCUUUGAUCCAGAGAUUUCCGAAUGGGGAAACCCAGCAUGAGUUAUGUCAUGCUAUCGAUAUGUGAAUACAUAGCAUAUCAGAAGGCACACCCGGAGAACUGAAACAUCUUAGUACCCGGAGGAAGAGAAAGAAAAUUCGAUUCCCUUAGUAGCGGCGAGCGAAACGGGAAGAGCCCAAACCAACAAGCUUGCUUGUUGGGGUUGUAGGACACUCUAUACGGAGUUACAAAGGACGACAUUAGACGAAUCAUCUGGAAAGAUGAAUCAAAGAAGGUAAUAAUCCUGUAGUCGAAAAUGUUGUCUCUCUUGAGUGGAUCCUGAGUACGACGGAGCACGUGAAAUUCCGUCGGAAUCUGGGAGGACCAUCUCCUAAGGCUAAAUACUCUCUAGUGACCGAUAGUGAACCAGUACCGUGAGGGAAAGGUGAAAAGCACCCCGGAAGGGGAGUGAAAUAGAACCUGAAACCGUGUGCUUACAAGUAGUCAGAGCCCGUUAAUGGGUGAUGGCGUGCCUUUUGUAGAAUGAACCGGCGAGUUACGAUUUGAUGCAAGGUUAAGCAGUAAAUGUGGAGCCGUAGCGAAAGCGAGUCUGAAUAGGGCGUUUAGUAUUUGGUCGUAGACCCGAAACCAGGUGAUCUACCCUUGGUCAGGUUGAAGUUCAGGUAACACUGAAUGGAGGACCGAACCGACUUACGUUGAAAAGUGAGCGGAUGAACUGAGGGUAGCGGAGAAAUUCCAAUCGAACCUGGAGAUAGCUGGUUCUCUCCGAAAUAGCUUUAGGGCUAGCCUCAAGUGAUGAUUAUUGGAGGUAGAGCACUGUUUGGACGAGGGGCCCCUCUCGGGUUACCGAAUUCAGACAAACUCCGAAUGCCAAUUAAUUUAACUUGGGAGUCAGAACAUGGGUGAUAAGGUCCGUGUUCGAAAGGGAAACAGCCCAGACCACCAGCUAAGGUCCCAAAAUAUAUGUUAAGUGGAAAAGGAUGUGGCGUUGCCCAGACAACUAGGAUGUUGGCUUAGAAGCAGCCAUCAUUUAAAGAGUGCGUAAUAGCUCACUAGUCGAGUGACACUGCGCCGAAAAUGUACCGGGGCUAAACAUAUUACCGAAGCUGUGGAUUGUCCUUUGGACAAUGGUAGGAGAGCGUUCUAAGGGCGUUGAAGCAUGAUCGUAAGGACAUGUGGAGCGCUUAGAAGUGAGAAUGCCGGUGUGAGUAGCGAAAGACGGGUGAGAAUCCCGUCCACCGAUUGACUAAGGUUUCCAGAGGAAGGCUCGUCCGCUCUGGGUUAGUCGGGUCCUAAGCUGAGGCCGACAGGCGUAGGCGAUGGAUAACAGGUUGAUAUUCCUGUACCACCUAUAAUCGUUUUAAUCGAUGGGGGGACGCAGUAGGAUAGGCGAAGCGUGCGAUUGGAUUGCACGUCUAAGCAGUAAGGCUGAGUAUUAGGCAAAUCCGGUACUCGUUAAGGCUGAGCUGUGAUGGGGAGAAGACAUUGUGUCUUCGAGUCGUUGAUUUCACACUGCCGAGAAAAGCCUCUAGAUAGAAAAUAGGUGCCCGUACCGCAAACCGACACAGGUAGUCAAGAUGAGAAUUCUAAGGUGAGCGAGCGAACUCUCGUUAAGGAACUCGGCAAAAUGACCCCGUAACUUCGGGAGAAGGGGUGCUCUUUAGGGUUAACGCCCAGAAGAGCCGCAGUGAAUAGGCCCAAGCGACUGUUUAUCAAAAACACAGGUCUCUGCUAAACCGUAAGGUGAUGUAUAGGGGCUGACGCCUGCCCGGUGCUGGAAGGUUAAGAGGAGUGGUUAGCUUCUGCGAAGCUACGAAUCGAAGCCCCAGUAAACGGCGGCCGUAACUAUAACGGUCCUAAGGUAGCGAAAUUCCUUGUCGGGUAAGUUCCGACCCGCACGAAAGGCGUAACGAUUUGGGCACUGUCUCAACGAGAGACUCGGUGAAAUCAUAGUACCUGUGAAGAUGCAGGUUACCCGCGACAGGACGGAAAGACCCCGUGGAGCUUUACUGUAGCCUGAUAUUGAAAUUCGGCACAGCUUGUACAGGAUAGGUAGGAGCCUUUGAAACGUGAGCGCUAGCUUACGUGGAGGCGCUGGUGGGAUACUACCCUAGCUGUGUUGGCUUUCUAACCCGCACCACUUAUCGUGGUGGGAGACAGUGUCAGGCGGGCAGUUUGACUGGGGCGGUCGCCUCCUAAAAGGUAACGGAGGCGCUCAAAGGUUCCCUCAGAAUGGUUGGAAAUCAUUCAUAGAGUGUAAAGGCAUAAGGGAGCUUGACUGCGAGACCUACAAGUCGAGCAGGGUCGAAAGACGGACUUAGUGAUCCGGUGGUUCCGCAUGGAAGGGCCAUCGCUCAACGGAUAAAAGCUACCCCGGGGAUAACAGGCUUAUCUCCCCCAAGAGUUCACAUCGACGGGGAGGUUUGGCACCUCGAUGUCGGCUCAUCGCAUCCUGGGGCUGUAGUCGGUCCCAAGGGUUGGGCUGUUCGCCCAUUAAAGCGGUACGCGAGCUGGGUUCAGAACGUCGUGAGACAGUUCGGUCCCUAUCCGUCGUGGGCGUAGGAAAUUUGAGAGGAGCUGUCCUUAGUACGAGAGGACCGGGAUGGACAUACCUCUGGUGUACCAGUUGUCGUGCCAACGGCAUAGCUGGGUAGCUAUGUGUGGACGGGAUAAGUGCUGAAAGCAUCUAAGCAUGAAGCCCCCCUCAAGAUGAGAUUUCCCAACUUCGGUUAUAAGAUCCCUCAAAGAUUAUGAGGUUAAUAGGUUCGAGGUGGAAGCAUGGUGACAUGUGGAGCUGACGAAUACUAAUCGAUCGAAGACUUAAUCAA